RNAcentral lists this ribosomal RNA (410 nucleotides) under uncultured microorganism. RNAcentral describes it as "bacterial SSU rRNA". It matches the Rfam family "Bacterial small subunit ribosomal RNA", at positions 509 to 917 of the family's 1533-position model. The record is from RNAcentral.
CAGCCGCCGCGGUAAUACGUAGGGUGCGAGCGUUAAUCGGAUUUACUGGGCGUAAAGCGUGCGCAGGCGGCCCGUUAAGACAGGUGUGAAAUCCCUGGGCUCAACCUAGGAAUUGCGCUUGUGACUGGCGGGCUCAAGUACGGUAGAGGGGGGUGGAAUUCCUGGUGUAGCAGUGAAAUGCGUAGAGAUCAGGAGGAACACCGAUGGCGAAGGCAGCCCCCUGGGCCUGUACUGACGCUCAUGCACGAAAGCGUGGGGAGCAAACAGGAUUAGAUACCCUGGUAGUCAACGCCCUAAACGAUGGGUACUAGCCGUUUGGUGCGCGAUAGCGCUGAGUGGCGAAGCUAACGCGUGAAGUACCCCGCCUGGGGAGUACGGCCGCAAGGUUGAAACUUAAAGGAAUUGGCGGG